This 264-nucleotide ribosomal RNA is filed under the name uncultured bacterium. RNAcentral's name for it is "partial 16S ribosomal RNA". It matches the Rfam family "Bacterial small subunit ribosomal RNA", at positions 793 to 1055 of the family's 1533-position model. The record is from RNAcentral.
GUCCUAGCCGUAAACGAUGGACACUGAGUGGAGGAGGGCUUGCCUUUCUCUGCUGCAGCUAACGCGUUAAGUGUCCCGCCUGGGGAGUACGGCCGCAAGGUUAAAACUCAAAGGAAUUGACGGGGGCUCGCACAAGCGGUGGAGCAUGUGGUUCAAUUCGAUGCAACGCGAAGAACCUUACCCGGGCUUGAAGUGGAGGUGGUAGGACCAGAAACGGUACGACCCCGAAAGGGGAGCCUUCAUCAGGUGUUGCAUGGCUGUCGU